CCUACGGGAGGCAGCAGUGGGGAAUAUUGCACAAUGGGGGAAACCCUGAUGCAGCAACGCCGCGUGAAGGAAGACGGAUUUCGGAGUGUAAACCUCUGUUCUUAGGGAAGAAUAAUGACGGUAGCUAAGGAGCAAGCCACGGCUAACUACGUGCCAGCAGCCGCGGUAAUAGGUAGGUGGCAAGCGUUGUCCGGAAUUACUGGGUGUAACGGGAGCGAAGGCGGGAAGCCAAGUCAGCUGUGAAAUCUACGGGCUUAACUUGUAGACUGCAGUUGAAACUGGUUUUCUUGAGUGAAGUAGAGGUUGGCGGAAUUCCUGGUGUAGCGGUGAAAUGCGUAGAUAUUCGGAGGAACACCGGUGGCGAAGGCGGCCAACUGGGCUUUAACUGACGCUGAGGCUCGAAAGUGUGGGGAGCAAACAGGAUUAGAUACCCCUGUAGUC
RNAcentral lists this ribosomal RNA (441 nucleotides) under uncultured bacterium. Its description in RNAcentral is "partial 16S ribosomal RNA". It matches the Rfam family "Bacterial small subunit ribosomal RNA", at positions 338 to 795 of the family's 1533-position model. The record is from RNAcentral.